GCCCAAAGGUUCCCUCAGGCUGGUUGGAAAUCAGUCGUCGAGUGCAAAGGCAGAAGGGAGCUUGACUGUGAGACUUACAAGUCGAGCAGGUGCGAAAGCAGGGCAUAGUGAUCCAGCGAUUGCGUGUGGAAGCGUCGUUGCUCAACGGAUAAAAGGUACCCCGGGGAUAACAGGCUCAUCUUCCCCAAGAGUCCAUAUCGACGGGAAGGUUUGGCACCUCGAUGUCGGCUCAUCGCAUCCUGGGGCUGAAGCAGGUCCCAAGGGUUGGGCUGUUCGCCCAUUAAAGCGGUACGCGAGCUGGGUUUAGAACGUCGUGAGACAGUUCGGUCCCUAUCCUCUGUAGCCGUAGGAGAUUUGAGAAAGGCUGUCCCUAGUACGAGAGGACCGGGAUGGACGCAGCUCUCGUGUGCCAGUUGUUCCGCCAGGAGCAUGGCUGGUUGGCGACCUGCGGGAAGGAUAAGCGCUGAAAGCAUCUAAGCGCGAAACCUGUUUCGAGAUGAGAUCUCCCACUGGAUAACCAGGUAAGGCCCGUGGCAGACCACCACGUUGAUAGGCCGGAUGUGUAAGCACGGCAACGUGUUCAGCAGACCGGUACUAAUCGGCCGAGGGCUUGGGCUC
RNAcentral lists this ribosomal RNA (618 nucleotides) under Acidimicrobiales bacterium MED-G01. RNAcentral describes it as "bacterial LSU rRNA". It matches the Rfam family "Bacterial large subunit ribosomal RNA", at positions 2308 to 2925 of the family's 2925-position model. The record is from RNAcentral. Lineage: Bacteria; Bacillati; Actinomycetota; Acidimicrobiia; Acidimicrobiales.